RNAcentral lists this ribosomal RNA (328 nucleotides) under uncultured eukaryote. RNAcentral describes it as "partial 18S ribosomal RNA". It matches the Rfam family "Eukaryotic small subunit ribosomal RNA", at positions 1470 to 1796 of the family's 1831-position model. The record is from RNAcentral.
CCCUUAGAUGUCCUGGGCUGCACGCGCGCUACACUGAUGUGUCCAGUAAGCACCUAACCUCUUCCGAAAGGAACGGGUAACCUUUGCAAAGCACAUCGUGACGGGGAUAGAUUAUUGCAAUUAUUAAUCUUCAACGAGGAAUGCCUAGUAGGCGCAAGUCAUCAGCUUGCGUCGAUUACGUCCCUGCCCUUUGUACACACCGCCCGUCGCUCCUACCGAUUGGGUGUGCUGGUGAAAUGUUCGGAUCGGCCGUUUGUCGCGGUUUCCGCGUCAUGUGGCUGAGAAGUUCAUUAAACCCUCCCACCUAGAGGAAGGAGAAGUCGUAACA